This 1436-nucleotide long non-coding RNA is filed under the name Apteryx haastii (Great spotted kiwi). RNAcentral describes it as "lncRNA (ENSAHAG00000013158.1)". The record is from RNAcentral. Lineage: Eukaryota; Metazoa; Chordata; Aves; Apterygiformes; Apterygidae.
AUCUCUGGCCCGUUAGCGCCCCCCCACUGCACAUCCACAGCCCUCUGCACACAGAGUCCCUGCAGAGGUGUCUCACGUGACCUGAGCCAGGCAGAUCGAUGGGACCCACUGGUCGCUGCUGGCACCGGCCCGAGUGACAGGGAAAGAAAGAGAAGGGUGGCGAGCUGGACAGAGGGRCAGGGACCGGAACUGGAUGGAUCCCGUCAGCCCGGAACAGUUCUCGCCACGCUCCAACCCCACUCGCCUGCCGAGCACGCAGAGCUCUCUGCGCACCGCUGUGCCCAAAGUCUGCUUGUGGGCCUGCUUGCCCGUUUCCCUACAGCUCCAGGGUGCCUGCGUCUGCCAGAGCGAGGGUGCGCGCACAGCUCCUAGAUUCCUGUUACACUCGGAUGCUGGCCUCACAGAUGAUGACCAAAACAAAGAACUGGAUUGCUAGGUCGAGCUGUGUCUCUUCAAGAUGUCCCCCUUUGGUGGACUACCCUGCCAAACAAACCAAGACAACUGACGAGGCUGUGAGGGUAUCAGAUCUCUGGACCACUUCUCCAAGGCUUUCCGGGUGAUUGACGUAACCGCUUCUCUUCACGUUCCUCAAAGCCACAUUCAUCUAUUACUUAAAACUAAACAGUUUCUCUUUUAAGAGAGGAUUGUUGUUGAAACUUUACACGUAGUCCAUAACCCACUACGCAUCAUCUCUAGUCCCUUCUGCUUUCACAACACUUUCGGUAAUUCAGGGUUGUAAUUAAGAGCACCCAUUGUCCUAUGGGCUGGAGUAAGUCAUUUCUCCUGCUCUGAGGAGGUGCCUAAAAGCCAUGCUGUUUUCUGUAGUAGCAUCACUGGGGCUUCCCGUAGCCCACUAGCGUUCUCUUAGGCUCUUCCUGAGCCCUGUAUUUUUUUAAGGUUAUUCCUUAACCAGCAAUUUUAUGUUAAGUUCUUCUUAAGCACUGUGCACAAUGCACUUAUCCCAGACUAGCCGCAUUAACAGAGUCCUCUUGCACACACAGAGGCUUCUAAGAGGUGGCUCAGAAGAGAGAAAAGUCUGCUUGUCAUCUGUGCACCCACCCGUCAGCAUUCUUCACCAAGAGGUGCUGUAAAUUCCCUUUUCUCUAAAGUGGGACCGAGUCAAGGGGGAGACACAAAUCACCCCCCAUAUUUAUUAGAACACCUCACUGCCAUGGGCACUGGGUCUGGGAGUGGCUUUAGGAUUGCUUGGGGCUUUGGGACAUCAGGCUACUGUGCCACUGCUGGAGACAUCCGGACCCCUGUGCAGCAUACGAGAGCCUGGGGAGACAUCAGAGGCAAUGGAGGACCCGUCACUACAUACUGAGCUGGGGAAGCCCACGGCUUUGGGGCAGCUGGACAGGAGGGAGCAGGCCUUUCAGUCAGUCGGUGCCCGCAUUGGCUGGCGCCCACACUCUGUGCCUGGGGGUGGGGGAGGC